This 440-nucleotide ribosomal RNA is filed under the name uncultured bacterium. RNAcentral describes it as "partial 16S ribosomal RNA". It matches the Rfam family "Bacterial small subunit ribosomal RNA", at positions 338 to 795 of the family's 1533-position model. The record is from RNAcentral.
CCUACGGGAGGCAGCAGUGGGGAAUAUUGCACAAUGGAGGGAACCCUGAUGCAGCAAAGCCGCGUGAGUGAAGACUUAUCUCGGUAUGUAAAGCUCUAUCAGCAGGGAAGAAAAUGACGGUACCUGACUAAGAAGCACCGGCUAAAUACGUUCCAGCAGCCGCGGUAAUACAUAUGGUGCAAGCGUUAUCCGGAUUUACUGGGUGUAAAGGGAGCGCAGGCGGCGCGGCAAGUCAGAUGUGAAAGCCCGGGGCUAAACCCCGGGACUGCAUUUGAAACUGCCGGGAUAGAGUGGCGGAGAGGCGAGUGGAAUUCCUAGUGUAGCGGUGAAAUGCGUAGAUAGUAGGAGGAACACCAGUGGCGAAGGCGGCUGGCUGGACGAUCACUGACGCUGAGGCUCGAAAGCGUGGGGAGCAAACAGGAUUAGAUACCCCAGUAGUC